Mauremys reevesii (Reeves's turtle) is the source of this 1072-nucleotide long non-coding RNA. RefSeq lists it as uncharacterized. Lineage: Eukaryota; Metazoa; Chordata; Testudines; Geoemydidae. The record is from RefSeq and is a predicted model, not a curated record. The transcript has 4 exons.
GUUCACCUCCCUCUUCUUGCCACACUGAACAGUUACAAACAAUGGAAGCGAUCAGCUGAAUUUAAAAGGGAGGGGACUUGUGGCAGAGAAACCUCAGAUGCAGCACAAGCUUGCACCCUGCUUUGAAAUAGCCCAUGUCUUGUUGAUGUAAAGGGCAUGCUACAAGGCACUUCUGUUUCCACUGGUUGCUGAAUUUAGAAAACCCAGGAGCUAGCUUCAUCACACAUCUCUGCCAAUAUACGUUAGUGCUGAGCUGGAAUGCCCCUUUUAUUCUGCUAAUGGGCCCCUCCUGAGCUGAGACCACACAUCACACUGAACCGAGUAAUUAUUCUUCUGAUGUACCCAAAUGUUCACUGAAAUGAGAUGGAGAUGGCUGAGCUCAUUUCACUUGUGAUCUAAACCAUGUUUGAACUCAGAUCUACGGCGGUGAAAAAAAGGAAUCCAGUCUUGACCUGAAGCUAUCAAGAGAUGGGGAAUGCAGCACUUCUCAUGGAAAUUGGAGUCAUGAGUUCUGUACACAGAGCAAGUCUACAGGAGUGAGCGUCAAGAGACUGCGGUAACAAGUCUAAGAUAUGGAGGGGAAAAAAAAUAGUGAAUGCAGUUCUGGCCUUUCUGUUACAAUGUGAAGAAAAGACAGAAUGUUGCAUGUAAGCCCGUGGUGAUGAUACUACAUUAUGUGGUGAGGCGAAUGUUGUCAAUGGAAGUCUAUAGAAAAUGACCCUGCAACAUAAAGUAAAAGGAAAUCACUGUCAGUGCAAGUCUAUAGAAAUGACUAUGAUCUGAGAAAAGGCAAAACAUUGUCAAUGCAGCUGUGAUUGGUUUUGCAAUGUAAGGAAAUGCAACAUGAUAUCAAUGCAAUGCAAAACAAGUUGUGAAGAUAGACAAACUGAAGAGUGAAUCUGUUAUGUGAAUAAUUAAAUUGAUUCCCAUACUAAACAUUAUUUUACUCAUACUUUGUCCUUCUAGUUUAUAGUAAUCAUUCAUGUUAAGUCUGUCUUUAUAUUACUACUUCAAUUGCUCCACUCAACAGCAAUGCCCAUAUAUUGAAGACUUAAGUUACCUCACAUUUAUC